This 490-nucleotide ribosomal RNA is filed under the name uncultured bacterium. RNAcentral's name for it is "partial 16S ribosomal RNA". It matches the Rfam family "Bacterial small subunit ribosomal RNA", at positions 30 to 507 of the family's 1533-position model. The record is from RNAcentral.
AUUGAACGCUGGCGGCAGGCCUAACACAUGCAAGUCGAACGGUAACAGAAAGCAGCUUGCUGCUUUGCUGACGAGUGGCGGACGGGUGAGUAAUGUCUGGGAAACUGCCUGAUGGAGGGGGAUAACUACUGGAAACGGUAGCUAAUACCGCAUAACGUCGCUAGACCAAAGAGGGGGACCUUCGGGCCUCUUGCCAUCGGAUGUGCCCAGAUGGGAUUAGCUAGUAGGUGGGGUAACGGCUCACCUAGGCGACGAUCCCUAGCUGGUCUGAGAGGAUGACCAGCCACACUGGAACUGAGACACGGUCCAGACUCCUACGGGAGGCAGCAGUGGGGAAUAUUGCACAAUGGGCGCAAGCCUGAUGCAGCCAUGCCGCGUGUAUGAAGAAGGCCUUCGGGUUGUAAAGUACUUUCAGCGGGGAGGAAGGGAGUAAAGUUAAUACCUUUGCUCAUUGACGUUACCCGCAGAAGAAGCACCGGCUAACUCCGUG